RNAcentral lists this ribosomal RNA (292 nucleotides) under uncultured bacterium. RNAcentral's name for it is "partial 16S ribosomal RNA". The record is from RNAcentral.
GGACUACCGGGGUUUCUAAUCCUGUUCGCUACCCAUGCUUUCGCUCCUCAGCGUCAGUAGUGGCCCAGAGACCUGCCUUCGCCAUCGGUGUUCCUCCUGAUAUCUGCGCAUUCCACCGCUACACCAGGAAUUCCAGUCUCCCCUACCACACUCUAGUCUGCCCGUACCCACUGCAGGCGCGAGGUUGAGCCUCGCGAUUUCACAGCAGACGCGACAAACCGCCUACGAGCUCUUUACGCCCAAUAAUUCCGGACAACGCUUGCGCCCUACGUAUUACCGCGGCUGCUGGCAC